RNAcentral lists this ribosomal RNA (465 nucleotides) under Vreelandella stevensii. Its description in RNAcentral is "partial 16S ribosomal RNA". It matches the Rfam family "Bacterial small subunit ribosomal RNA", at positions 338 to 795 of the family's 1533-position model. Lineage: Bacteria; Pseudomonadati; Pseudomonadota; Gammaproteobacteria; Oceanospirillales; Halomonadaceae. The record is from RNAcentral.
CCUACGGGGGGCUGCAGUGGGGAAUAUUGGACAAUGGGGGGAACCCUGAUCCAGCCAUGCCGCGUGUGUGAAGAAGGCCCUCGGGUUGCAAAGCACUUUCAGUGAGGAAGAACGCCUGGUGGUUAAUACCCAUCAGGAAAGACAUCACUCACAGAAGAAGCACCGGCUAACUCCGUGCCAGCAGCCGCGGUAAUACGGAGGGUGCGAGCGUUAAUCGGAAUUACUGGGCGUAAAGCGCGCGUAGGUGGCUUGAUAAGCCGGUUGUGAAAGCCCCGGGCUCAACCUGGGAACGGCAUCCGGAACUGUCAAGCUAGAGUGCAGGAGAGGAAGGUAGAAUUCCCGGUGUAGCGGUGAAAUGCGUAGAGAUCGGGAGGAAUACCAGUGGCGAAGGCGGCCUUCUGGACUGACACUGACACUGAGGUGCGAAAGCGUGGGUAGCAAACAGGAUUAGAUACCCUGGUAGUC